This 363-nucleotide transfer RNA is filed under the name uncultured Microcystis sp. RNAcentral's name for it is "partial 16S-23S ribosomal RNA intergenic spacer". The stretch from base 135 to 208 matches the Rfam family "tRNA". Lineage: Bacteria; Bacillati; Cyanobacteriota; Cyanophyceae; Chroococcales; Microcystaceae. The record is from RNAcentral.
AAGGGAGACCUAAUUCAGGUAGGAGACGAAAAAAAAGUAGUCGCUACCAAGAAUCAAUCCCAAAAGGUCGGAGCGAGGCGAAAUUGGCUUUCAAACUAGGUUCUGGGUUCAAACAAGACCUGAAUCAGGAACAAGGGCUAUUAGCUCAGGUGGUUAGAGCGCACCCCUGAUAAGGGUGAGGUCCCUGGUUCGAGUCCAGGAUGGCCCACCUGUACAGGUGGCAAAAAGAAAGAAAAGAAGCGAGGAAUCAGCACCUUAUCUUACUUAUAUAGUAAGAGAGAAUGCUGGCUCUGAGUAAAGAGUCCAGAGGAACCUUGAAAACUGCAUAGAGCUAGGUGAAAAAGCCAAAAAAGAAGACCGCAA